CUUCGGCCAUAUUAAAAAAAAAAAUGUGGUUUUAUCAUGCAGACUUGAAAGAAGGUGAUAAAGUGUUUUGAGGAUGCAUCUCAUUUGAUAGGUUACAAACGGUGGCUGGUGUGAUUAGAAAAGAAAUAAAGAAGCAAGCAAGCAAGCAUGUAAAAGUCCACGUGAAUCGGAAGUUGAAAGGGUUCGUUCUUUCUUACGAUUCUCGAGUCUUUUUGGUGAAGCGAGCUUUACAUUCGAGAUUGUUUUGCAGGUGUGUGAUUCGAGUCAGUGUUGCUCUUGGCCAGCGGAUGAGAUUACUUGUGUUAGGGUGGAAGGCAUUCUGUUUGUUAACAGCUAAAUAACAUUUUGAGUU
Long non-coding RNA from Helianthus annuus (common sunflower), 352 nucleotides. RefSeq lists it as uncharacterized. The transcript is spliced from 3 exons. NCBI's taxonomy places the organism in Eukaryota, Viridiplantae, Streptophyta, Magnoliopsida, Asterales, Asteraceae. The record is from RefSeq and is a predicted model, not a curated record.